AGAAGCAGGAGGAGAUGAGUCAAAGAGCUGGAGCCGGACAACGCAAGUCAAGCGGUAACGUGUAAGGAGAGACCUCGACGUGGGUGUAACCACUGUUCAACGUGACACGGAACGAAUGCAGGACAAUCGAAACGGAAAUCGACUUGGAUCUUAUUGAAACAUGACCUUCGAUAUACCUAAGUGAAACGAAAUGGCAUUUGUCGGUGUGCGCAAGCCGCCCGGGAAAGGAGAGGAGAAUGAACGAAC
This 246-nucleotide long non-coding RNA is filed under the name Polistes fuscatus (common paper wasp). Its description in RNAcentral is "uncharacterized LOC122519030". The record is from RNAcentral. Lineage: Eukaryota; Metazoa; Arthropoda; Insecta; Hymenoptera; Vespidae.